This 89-nucleotide long non-coding RNA is filed under the name Capra hircus (goat). RNAcentral's name for it is "lncRNA (ENSCHIG00010002959.1)". The record is from RNAcentral. Lineage: Eukaryota; Metazoa; Chordata; Mammalia; Artiodactyla; Bovidae.
AGAGAAGUGCAAGUAUGUGAUAUCCAGAAUGCCUGUUCUCCGUCUCUACCUGGGAAGGCUUAUCAGGCAGAUGUGAUGAAAAGAAAAAG